Rosa rugosa (rugosa rose) is the source of this 2681-nucleotide long non-coding RNA. RefSeq lists it as uncharacterized. NCBI's taxonomy places the organism in Eukaryota, Viridiplantae, Streptophyta, Magnoliopsida, Rosales, Rosaceae. The record is from RefSeq and is a predicted model, not a curated record. The transcript has 21 exons.
AGAUUUGAAGAUGAAGACUGAACUAGAGAUUUGGAGACGGGUAUAAGAUUCCUUAAAGCAAUCGGGAGAUAGGGGCUGCGCCGUUGUUCAAUUGUUCUUGGCAAGAGAAGACUUUAUUGCCUGAAGCCUGUAAUUGAUUUUUCUACACGCGGAGCCAGAGACUUCGAAAUUUUGAAAACUGUUCCUGGCGUUGGAUUACCAAAAUUUACUUUUACUUUUACUAUAUACCAAAGUUUCUUCUUUCUUCUUCGGCCAUCGGAUUCUUCUCUCUUCUGUUGGUUUCUCUCUUCCUCCCUUCUGCCCGCCCCUAGGUUCAUCAAGCUAUCGCCAUCGAAGAAGUACAGCAACACUGCAACCACACAUUUUCGCAGCAGGAGAUAGUUUCUCUGUACGAGAGGUUCUGUCAGCUCGAUCGCAGCGGUGGAGGUUUCAUCUUCGCCGACGAGUUUUCUGUCCGUACCGGAAUUCGCAGUCAAUCCUCUCUCUCAGUUUUGGCUGGGUGGACGUAGAUACGGGGGGAGAGGGAUUGGAGCAAGACCUUAUAAGCAAGAUCUUCACUUCUUUUUCGUUUCCAGGACCCUCUAUCAAUAUAUAUCAGCACUUCUGUUCGCCGACAUCAGAAACAUCCAUCAACAUCAAUACCUAUCACGGCCUGCUCCCAAACUGAGAGAGGAAGAUUUGACUAAAAUCAAAUAGUAAAGGAACUUACUGAUUCGGCGAAGCACAAGAGAACGGCUUUGAGUCUGAGUUUAUUUGAGGGUCUUUACUUACAGAGGUUGCUCUCUAGUAGAAGGGACUGUGGUGUUCUGAUUUCUGCUUUUGAUGGAUUUGGCGAGAGUGAGGAUCGCAGACUCCACCCCUGUAACUAUAUCUAAGACGGUCCAACUCUCAUAUACGAAGCUUAUUAAAGGGUGGCUUAACUACUACACGAUGUUGAGAAAUUUGAUUCAUUAAGGGGGUUCAAAAUCUCUACUUAUGUUUACUGGUGGAUACGUCAGGGUGUUUCAAGAGCACUGGUUGAAAAUUCCAGAACCUUACUACUGCCUACACAUUUGCAUGAGAGGUUAGGUUAAUCAAAAAUGCAAAAGUUAGAUUGGAAGAGACGAAUAACUCCAUCUAUCGAUAGGAUUGCAGAAAGCCUGAAUAUGUCCAAAAAGAAAGUUAGGAAGUUACUCAGAACGAAUUACAGCGUCAAGCACGAACCACACUUGCAUCAUGAUAAAUCCACGCAUUCCACAGGCGCAACAAUAUAAAACUGAGUAUCAAGUGCUUGACAAACCAAGAGAGGCCAACACCUUAUGAAAUGAAUAUCUAAAAGCAUCAAAAGUGCGUUCUACCUGCAACCAGUUUUUAUAAAAUUCUUCAAUGUAGACCCUCUUUUGAGUCUCUUUAGCUGGAGAUCCAAACACAAGACACAACUAAAGAAUAGUUUAUCCCUUCCUUGACUCAAAAAAUGGGACAGUGCCUUGGUUGUAUCUGAGCAGACCAGUCUACUAUUGCAAUCAGAAAAACUUUUGGAAAGUUUGAUGAUGUGCUUGAAUCUGGUUGUCAUUGUUUGCCUUGCUGUUGAGGGGCGAACCAUAAUCUGCAUCAAUGUUCAAUCAAAUUGGUGGAACUUCAGAAUAAGAACAAGACACAAAACCUGUUUACUGAGCCUUCACCUACACUAUCGACACAGAUAGAGAGAGCCUCAUCUUUUGGGUUUCGGUUAUUUGCUCGACACAGAGAGAGAUGGAGCGAAGUAAACAGAGGAAGAAAGGAGAGAAGAAGAGGCCAUCCCUUCAAAAUGUCCAUCGUUAGGGUGGAGUUUGGCAUUGGAGGCUUAAUCGUGGACACCAAGGUGUUUUAUUGGCCAAGAAAGUGUGCUUAGCUUUGCUAUUUGAAGAAGAUGAAUGGGAAAAUGAGCUCUUCUUCAGCUUCAGAAGAAAGACGAGAUUGAAAAGAAGAGAGGGGCCUUACCAAAAUUAGGGGUUUAAGACAGAGCGAGCAAGCAAGCACCCUGAUCACACUGACUGGGGAUCUCACUCAUUGAUAUGGCCAUUACUUAAGGUCUCCAUUGUUCUCACGUGUCAUGACUCAGUAGCUGACCCUGCAGCACUCAAAUCAAAUUGCCUAAUUGUACAGCUGAUUUUAUGGACACAGCAAUAACUUACAAGGAUAUGGAGACAGAAAGGGUUGAACACUGACAAAUAUGAUGGGCUUCAUUGAUUUUCUUAAAGCUGCAAUCCAUGAAAUCUCUCUCUACUUGCUCAAUUGUAAUAUGAUCUACAUCAUAUUUUUAUGUAUACAAGCUAUGCUCUCAGUUUUAGGUCCAAGCAACUAAUUGUUCCAUUAUGUAGUGGUUGAUUUUAGUUUAAUCUUGAAUUAUAUGUUUGCUCAAAAUUAUCAUCCUAAAAAAAAAAAAACCACACCAUCGCACGGGAGAAUUAGCUCCAAACCCCGCAGCAAAGCGCGGGCAAUAUUGCUAGUUCAAACAAGGCAGAGGCAGAGUGCAGUGGCUGUUUUCGAGUCGCCUUUUCUCAUUCUUUUAUUUGUAGAAUGAAAGGCCAAAGACAAUCUCUGCAGCAAAUUCCUUGCUAAAUUUUAAUUCGCUUGCAGGUGACAUUGGAACUUUGAUUCCAAAUUUUGUAUUUUCGCUUCAAAUGUUAUCCAAGAGGAAGCACAGACAAUGCUUUUGUUCA